RNAcentral lists this ribosomal RNA (483 nucleotides) under uncultured bacterium. RNAcentral's name for it is "partial 16S ribosomal RNA". It matches the Rfam family "Bacterial small subunit ribosomal RNA", at positions 30 to 507 of the family's 1533-position model. The record is from RNAcentral.
AUUGAACGCUGGCGGCAGGCCUAACACAUGCAAGUCGAGCGGAUGAAGGGAGCUUGCUCCUGGAUUCAGCGGCGGACGGGUGAGUAAUGCCUAGGAAUCUGCCUGGUAGUGGGGGAUAACGUCCGGAAACGGGCGCUAAUACCGCAUACGUCCUGAGGGAGAAAGUGGGGGAUCUUCGGACCUCACGCUAUCAGAUGAGCCUAGGUCGGAUUAGCUAGUUGGUGGGUAAAGGCCUACCAAGGCGACGAUCCGUAACUGGUCUGAGAGGAUGAUCAGUCACACUGGAACUGAGACACGGUCCAGACUCCUACGGGAGGCAGCAGUGGGGAAUAUUGGACAAUGGGCGAAAGCCUGAUCCAGCCAUGCCGCGUGUGUGAAGAAGGUCUUCGGAUUGUAAAGCACUUUAAGUUGGGAGGAAGGGCAGUAAGUUAAUACCUUGCUGUUUUGACGUUACCAACAGAAUAAGCACCGGCUAGCUUCGUG